This is a long non-coding RNA of Oncorhynchus gorbuscha (pink salmon), 285 nucleotides long. RefSeq lists it as uncharacterized. Lineage: Eukaryota; Metazoa; Chordata; Actinopteri; Salmoniformes; Salmonidae. The transcript has 3 exons. The record is from RefSeq and is a predicted model, not a curated record.
CUGAGCAAGAAGAAAGAAUGUGAAGACUUGGAACAUGAAGUUAGGAAGAGACAGAAGGGAUGUCUGGAUUUGGAGAGCCAGCUUGAGGAUGAGCGAGGCAAAAAUGGGCAUCUAGAGGAGGAGGCAGAUCUCCUCAGGAGGAAGGCACAGCUGCUCGACCAGACCUGGGUUGAGAAUGAGGAGCUGAGAGAACACCUCUCUGAAGUGACCGCUCAACGUGAUUCAGGUCUCAAGGAGAACCAGAGACUCCGUGUCAAACUGGAUAACCUGGAGCAGGUCCUAAAG